Molecule: ribosomal RNA, 1500 nt
Filed under: metagenome
Description: bacterial SSU rRNA
Rfam family: Bacterial small subunit ribosomal RNA
Source: RNAcentral
AGAGUUUGAUCCUGGCUCAGAUUGAACGCUGCGGUACGCUUAACACAUGCAAGUCGAACGGUAGCAGGAACUAGUUUACUAGUUUGCUGACGAGUGGCGGGCGGGUGAGUAACGCGUAGGAAUCUGCCUUAGAGUGGGGAAUAACCCGGGGAAACCCGGGCUAAUACCGCAUACCUUCUACGGAAGAAAGCUGGGGAUCCUUCGGGACCUGGUGCUCUAAGAGGAGCCUGCGUCGGAUUAGCUAGUUGGUGGGGUAAAGGCCUACCAAGGCAACGAUCCGUAACUGGUCUGAGAGGAUGACCAGUCACACUGGGACUGAGACACGGCCCAGACUCCUACGGGAGGCAGCAGUGGGGAAUAUUGGACAAUGGGCGCAAGCCUGAUCCAGCGAUACCGCGUGUGUGAAGAAGGCCUGCGGGUUGUAAAGCACUUUCAGUGGGGAGGAAAUGGUUGUUGCUAAUACCAACAACAGUUGACGCUACCCAAAGAAGAAGCACCGGCUAACUCUGUGCCAGCAGCCGCGGUAAUACAGAGGGUGCAAGCGUUAAUCGGAAUUACUGGGCGUAAAGGGUGCGUAGGUGGCAAUUUAAGUUGGGUGUGAAAGCCCCAGGCUUAACCUGGGAACUGCAUCCAAAACUAAAUAGCUAGAGUAGGAUAGAGGGAAGUGGAAUUUCCGGUGUAGCGGUGAAAUGCGUAGAUAUCGGAAGGAACAUCAGUGGCGAAGGCGGCUUCCUGGAUCCAUACUGACACUGAGGCACGAAAGCGUGGGGAGCAAACAUGAUUAGAUACCCUGGUAGUCCACGCCGUAAACGAUGAGAACUAGAGGCUGGUAUAAUUUAUAUCAGUCUCGUAGCUAACGCGAUAAGUUCUCCGCCUGGGGAGUACGGCCGCAAGGCUAAAACUCAAAGGAAUUGACGGGGGCCCGCACAAGCGGUGGAGCAUGUGGUUUAAUUCGAUGCAACGCGAAAAACCUUACCUACCCUUGACAUCCUUGGAAUCUUGCAGAGAUGCGAGAGUGCCUUCGGGAACCAAGUGACAGGUGCUGCAUGGCUGUCGUCAGCUCGUGUCGUGAGAUGUUGGGUUAAGUCCCGUAACGAGCGCAACCCUUGUGCCUAGUUACCAGCGCGUUAUGGCGGGUACUCUAGGGAGACUGCCGGUGAUAAACCGGAGGAAGGCGGGGACGACGUCAAGUCAUCAUGGUCCUUAUGGGUAGGGCUACACACGUGCUACAAUGGGCAGUACAAAGGGUCGCCAAGCCGUGAGGUGGAGCUAAUCCCAAAAAGCUGCUCGUAGUCCAGAUUGAAGUCUGCAACUCGACAUCAUGAAGUUGGAAUCGCUAGUAAUCGCGAAUCAGAAUGUCGCGGUGAAUACGUUCUCGGGCCUUGUACACACCGCCCGUCACACCAUGGGAGUUGGCGGCACCAGAAGUAAGUAGCUUAACCUUUGGGGGGGCGCUUACCACGGUGCGGUCAAUGACUGGGGUGAAGUCGUAACAAGGUA